UGCUGAGAGGGGUUUAGGAACAAGUUGAGGUGGCCCUGAAUGAAAACAGUAAACAAUGUUUGGGCAGUUUUCCAGAUUCCCCAAGAAUGAACUUUCACAGAGCUUUGUGUGUGUGUGUGUGUGUGUGUGUGUGUGUAGAGAGAGAAUAUUACUAAAAUUAAUAGGAUACCACUUACAUCCAUAAACAAAUAUGUAAACAACUCAAAAACCAAAUCCAGUGGUUUUAUUUUUCAAAUCAACUCUGACUUUUUAAUGCCAUUGAAUGUUUUCUGAUCUAUUAGUGUGAAUUGUUAAGAACUGGCUCUUCUCAUGAAAGUAUAAAAUGCUAAUUGACUUUAAAAAGCUUCAGAAGAUAUAAUGUGAAAAAUAAAAGCAUUGAGUAGGAAUGCAAUUCUAUUAAGCAAUAUAUAUGACUGGACAGAUGUGAGCUAAAUUAACAGUUACAUCUAUGUGAUACAAUUAUGGGUAAUUUUAAUUUUCUUCAUUUUGUUUUACUCUGUUUUCAAAUAUCCUACAAAUGUGUAUUUUAAUAAUAAUAAAAAUAAAUAUUGUUGC
This 555-nucleotide long non-coding RNA is filed under the name Pan troglodytes (chimpanzee). RNAcentral's name for it is "lincRNA". The record is from RNAcentral. Lineage: Eukaryota; Metazoa; Chordata; Mammalia; Primates; Hominidae.